This 245-nucleotide long non-coding RNA is filed under the name Chinchilla lanigera (long-tailed chinchilla). RNAcentral's name for it is "lncRNA (ENSCLAG00000025094.1)". The record is from RNAcentral. Lineage: Eukaryota; Metazoa; Chordata; Mammalia; Rodentia; Chinchillidae.
CUUUCUUGUGCUACACUGAAAAUUCAGGUUGUGUGUCAUCAAAAUAUUUAUUUCACUGUUUAAUUGUUUGCAGAGCAAGAAAAACGUUUUGUAAAACAGUGUCUGAAGAUAGCACAACGAUUUGCAGGUAAUUGCAAGGGGAACAAUUUAAGGUGAUUUCAUGUUUGCCACCUCUAUUCUGUGGGAUUCUAGUGAGAAUAAUCUGUAAGACACAUGUGAACCAGGAAGAUGGCUUCAUAGUGGAC